Molecule: non-coding RNA, 7265 nt
Organism: Pelobates cultripes (western spadefoot toad)
Lineage: Eukaryota; Metazoa; Chordata; Amphibia; Anura; Pelobatidae
Source: the annotation of a GenBank genome assembly
CAUAAGCCAACUGGCAAAUGUAGAUAUAAAAAACAAACAAAGAUGAAGGCUGCACUCUUUGGUCUUCUAAAUAAAAAUUGCAAACUGUUUUAUUCAAUAUGCAUUAAAAAGAAUUGAUCGACGUUUCAGCCCCAAUCUGGGCUUUCUUCAGGAUCAGAAAUAACAAAAAAAAAAUAAAAAUACAUGACAAAUAAUUCAGCUUAUAUAUCAUAAAUAAAAUAGUAAGACUCACCACAGCUGAUGUGCACCCCGCGUCCUAUCAAUCGCUAUGCACAUGCGCAAUACGGACCAAUCAGGGUUUGCUCGCGCGGAGCAUGUGACCACAGUCUCCAUUCACAUAAAGUACAUCUACGUGGGUGGCAGCAAGCAUAGGGCUGAUGUCACGCCCAUUGAUGGUACAAAUGCCGUCCUCCUAUCGCUGUGCGCCCUGGGCGCAUGCGCAAACAGUUGAUAUAAUAAGAUGUCCACGCAUAAUGGCCUUGGAAGCACACCAAUUAUUAAUUGGCGAAGUGUCCUGUAGAUUGUUGUCUAAGAAGAAAAAUUCUAUUUUCUGUUUCAAAUAUUCAUAAUUGCUUUCAUAUUUCAAAAGAAGAACACCACUAUGGGGAGGGGGGAAGAACACUAUGGGGAAGGGAAAGAACACUAAGGGGGAGAGAGAGAGAAACAUUUAGGGAGAGCACUAAGGUACAGGGAAGGGAAGGGGAAAUGAACACUGGGGUAGGGGGGGCACUAAAAGAUAUGGGAGAGGAACAUUAAGGGGAAUGGGUUGGGGGUGGGUGGAGUUCCAGUUCCUGUUCCUAGUCAGCUGCAGUCCGAACUCGCUUCCUAGUCAGCUGCAGUCCGAACUCGCUAUGCUCCUUCCAAGACCAUUGGCGUCCUUCGAGUCAGUGUGGAUUCAGCCUUGCUCGUCAUCGUUUCAUCCCCGCCGCGGUAUCUGUCCGCCCCUACCUCAGAACGCGGGUAUGGCGUGCAGACGUGCUACGUCAUCGCGCAUCCCCAAAAUCCAUGUGAUUUUAGAUGUUCCCGCAAUUUUUCACUGCGAUGAGAUCUUCCUUUACAAUACAGCCCUUCAGUAACCAAUAGUCUCUUAUGCAGAGACUCCUCAAAGCUGUUUGCUCAUUCCCUCUGGUGCUGUAAAAAAUAAAAAUAUAGUUUAAACUCACCAAAUCGUAACCGGAAAGCAUAUUACAAUCUACAUAUUUUAUAUUAUUAGAAACUACAAUUUCCAUGUUGAGGAUUGGAGGAGUAGAAAGAAUGAUAGAGCGCUUUUAAUUUUGACUUAAAGCAUCUCUGUGACACCCACAAAUUAAGACAAAAUAGGGACAACUUUAUCCGAAGUAUCUUUCCUACUCUUGACACAAGGCAGAGCUACCUGAGAUACCCUUAUGCAUGCCUGUGAGCAGAGCACUUCCGUUGGCUCCUGGCAGAUGAAGCCCCAGGAGUUGAAGAGGCCCUUGAGAAAGAAGAUGCAUACAAAGGACAUUUUAAGUCAAGUAAAAAUUACCUUCACCUGUUCUCCAUGGCCACUGGAAUACAAGUGGAACAGUGACCAUCUGGGGUCUUUGCAUAAUAUGUAAAAUACAUAAAUAAAUAUCAUCAAAAGAUGAAGUACUUUAGGGGUCCAUAGUAAUUUCAGAACUGGGUAUAAUGCAACAGAGGGUUCUGUUUUAUGAACCUGGUGAAUUCCUGCAUAGCCGCCAAUCAUAGAUGAUACACAACGGUCCUCUUAUUAAACAGAACAACGGUUUCCACCCCGAACUGGGCUACCAUAUCUAAAAUACAGAAAAUGAACUUAGUGUAUAAUGUUUUAAACUGCCUCCUUUAUCAAACUCUGAAUUUUAAUCUGGAAUGGAGAAAACAGUCUAACGCAGGCAUGUCCAAAGUCCAGCCCGCGGGCCAUUUGCGGCCAGCGUUUCCGGUUCAAUACGGCCCCACAGGUAGUUUGGCUAAUCUACCUGUUGUGGCCCCCAGUGAACCCCCGCGCCGGGAUUCAGUGGGGGGCCAAGAUAUCACAAAAAACGCAGAUGGGAGUGCAGUGACCUCAGUCUGCAUUCUCACAAUCUCUUGGACGUCAUGGGAUUCGCGGGAUUUGGUUCCUUCUCCCUGCAGAGAAUCGACAGAAUAAAAUGGGGCAGAAUACAGAGGGGAAGACUAAAGAAAGGCAGAAUACAGACUGCGUACAGAGGUGCAGACUGGCAGGAUACAGAGGGGCAGAAUAAAGAUUGGCAGACUAAAGAAAGAAGGGACAGAGUAAAGAGAGAAGGGACAGACUAAAGAGAGAAGGGACAGACUAAAGAGAGAAGGGACAGAGUAAAGAGAGAAGGGACAGAGUAAAGAGAGAAGGGACAGAGUAAAGAGACAAAAUAAAGAGAUCUCAGACAGAAGAGAUGAAAUGAAAAGUAUGCCGUUUGCAAUAAACUUUGCAAAAAAUUGUUCAUUUGCCUUACAUUUUUUAUGGUUCAAAGAAUGUCAGGCAAAAUGGUUGGCCCUCACGCAUGUUCACUUAAUCAAAUUUGGCCCUCUUUGAAAAAAGUUUGGACACCCCUGGUCUAACGUAUAAUAAUUUAGACGUGAUCAAACUGGGGAACUAUAUCUACAACACUUUAUCCCCCCACCCCCCGAUUAAAGUGACAUAUGGAUCCUGAUAAGUAUAAGCAGUGUUUAGGUGAUACAGUCACAAUAUAAGCAGUAUUCAGGUGAUACGGUCCCAGUCAGUGGCAUACACACAAUCCACGGGGACCCGGUGCCAAACUGAACCAUGGGCCCCCCCCCUUCCAACAGACACACACAUACAUACAGACACACAUACAUACACACACACACACAAGACACAUAUACAUACAAACAGACACAUACACACAUACAAAUAGACAGACACACACACAAAUAUACAAAAUAUUUAAGUCACCCUCCUGUUUCCUACCUUUUAAGAGCAGGAGGGUGACUUUCCCUGGAGUCCAGUAGUGGCUCAGUUUGAUGGGAGUCAGAGUUCCUACUUUGACUCCCUCUUCUCCUUUCUUCCGCGCGGCUCUCUGAUAGCUGGGAGGAGUGACCGGGGCAGUAACUUCCUCCCAGCAUGUGAUGUCAUCACAGGGGACUCGGUCACGCUGUUAAAGCACCCAGUGCUAACCGGGCCCCCUGAAAAUCCAUACCCAUCGGGUGGCCCUAACAGCAUGGGCCACCCGACGGAUCCCUUUAAAACACUGGGGCCACAAAACAUGAUGGCGGGCACUCUGUCGCAAGGGUUGCACAGCUGCGCCCCCUAUAUGUAUGCCACUGGUCACAGUAUAAGCACUGUUUAGGUGAUACAGUCACAAUGUAAGCAGUGUUUAGACAAUACGAUCACAGUGUAAGCAGUGUUUAGGCAAUACAGUGGUGUUUAGGCGAUAGAUGCGGUCACAGUGUAAGCAGUGUUUAGGAGAUGCAGUCACUAUGUAAGCAGUGUUUAGGAGAUGCAGUCACUGUGUAAGCAGUGUUUAGGAGAUACAGUCACAGUAUAAGCAGUGUGUAGGAGAUACGGUCACAGUGUAAGCAGUGUUUAGGAGAUACGGUCACAGUGUAAGCAGUGUUUAGGUGAUACGGUCACAGCGUAAGCAGUGUUUAGGUGAUACGGUCACAGCGUAAGCAGUGUUUAGGUGAUACGAUCACAGUAUAAGCAGUGUUUAGGCAAUACGAUCACAGUAUAAGCAGUGUUUAGGUGAUACAGUAACUGUGUAAGCAGUGUUUAUGUGAUACGGUCACAGUGUAAGCAGUAUUUAGGUGAUACAGUCACAGUAUAAGCAGUGUGUAGGAGAUACGGUCACAGUGUAAGCAGUGUUUAGGUGAUACGGUCACUGUGUAAGCAGUGUUUAGGCGAUACGAUCACAGAAUAAGCAGUGUUAAGGUGAUAAGGUCAUAGUGUAAGCAGUAUUUAGGCGAUAUGGUCACAGUAUAAGCAGUGUUAAGGUGAUACAGGUGCUUCAUUCUCCACAGUCACAGUAUUUUUGGUAACCACAUAAGUAUUGCAGUCCCUCACAUUGGUUCAAUUGGCACAUGGAUACACAUGUGAGCAGUAACGCCACGUCAAGGCUUCAACCCUUGUUACGGACCAUUCACACACCACUUUUCAUUCAUAGGCAUUCGGUACUCCAGAUGUUUUGGACUACACCUCCCAUGAUGCUUUGCCAGCAUUAUGGGAGAUGUAAUUCACAGCAUCUAGAGUGCCUAAGAUUACCUACCUCUGAACCAGACAGUGGUCACAGUAAACAAUGUUGAAGUCGAGUGCUAACUGGAGAAGCUUAUCACGUACCAGAUGCCACUCUGAAUUCAAUACUCUACCCUGAAUAUGAGCAUGAAACAUAGGCCUCUUCAUCCGCCUUGUGUCCCAUAGGAGAACAUGCUUGUCAGAGUUGUCACACACAAAAAAAAAAAAAAAUGGUUAGAGUAAAUGGCAUAAAAGACACAGUGCAUGCAGACUUGCGUGUCACAUAUAUACAGCAGUCAAACACAAAGAUUGUGGGAGCCACACAGUAAGACCGGAGGGCGUACUAUUACGCCCUAUUCUAAGCGGCUCUAAACGCCGCCGGGCGUAAUAGUACGCCCUCCGGUCUUUCGGUACUUACCCGGUCGCCGGCGAUCCCACGCCGGCGAUCGCGGUUCGGGGGACUCCCAGGGAGCCCCCCGCGGCACCUCCGUCCUCCUGGAAGCCCCCCGGCCAUGUGAGAGUGGGGACCCCAUAAUCACAUGGCCGGGGGUAGCUGGCUGCAGCAUUGCCAGCAGGGGGGCUGCCUCUAAUGACAGGUGGUCCCCCUGCUGGCUGAAAAUAAAAAUGAAUAAAAUAAAUACUGUAAAAAAGAAAAUAAUAUAUACUUAGAUCAUAUAUAUAUUAUAUAUAUAUGAUCUAAGUAUAUAUAUACACAUAUACAUACACACACGUACACCGUCUAGGUGUAUUUUACUAUUAAUAUAUAUAUAAUUAUAUAUAUAUAUUAUCAAAUUACACGUAGACUGAUACUGAUUAAAUAUAUAUAUAUAUAAUUAUUGUUAUAUAUAUAUAUUUAUAUAUAAUAUAAAAAAAGUAAAUACGUUAAAAAAUAAAAUUAAAAAAAUAAUUAAAAAAUAAUAAUUAAAAAAUAUAUAGAUGUGUGUUAUUUCGUUCUAACUGUAUUGUGAAAUUAAUAUAUAUAUAUCAAAAUACACGUAGAACGAAAUAAUAUAUAUAUCUAUAUACAUAAAUAUAUCACUAUAUAUACCUAUAUAUAUAAAUAAAAAUAUUUUUUAAAAAUUAUAUAGAUAUAUACAUACGUAUAUAUAUAUACAUAUAUUAAUUCUACAUAUAUAUUUAUGUAAUAUUUUUACAUAAUUAGUUAUCUUAAUUAAUUACAAUUAGCAGGACCUGCCUGACAACCCAUGCCGAAAGUAAAGGGAAUUUAAUUUGCUAGCACUAUAUUUAACCCUAUAACUUUCCGAGACACCAUAAAACCUGUACAUGGGGGUACUGUUCUACUCGGGAGACUUCGCUGAACACAAAUAUUAGUGUUUCAAAACAGUAAAAUGUAUUACAACGAUGAUAUCGCCAGUAAAAGUGAAGUUUUUUGCAUUUUUCACACACAAACAGCAUUACACGGACAAUAUUAUUGCUGUGAUACUUUUUACUGUUUUGAAACACAAAUAUUUGUGUUCAGCGAAGUCUCCCGAGUACAACAGUACCCCUCAUGUACAGGUUUUAUGGUGUUUUCAAAAGUUACAGCGUCAAAUAUAAGGCUUGCGUUUCAUUUUUUUCACAUUAAAAUUCGCCAGAUUGGUUACGUUGCCUUUGAGACCCUAUGGUAGCCCAAGAAUGAAAAUUACCCCUAUGAUGGCAUACCUUUUGCAAUAGUAGACAACCUAAGGUAUUGCAAACAGGGUAUGUCCAGUCUUUUUUAGUAGCCACUUAGUCACAAACACUGGCCAAAAUUGGCGUUUUUUGCAUUUUUCACACACAAAGAAAUACUAACGCUAACUUUGGCCAGUGUUUGUGACCAAAUGGCUACUAAAAAAGACUGGACAUACCCCAUUUGCAAUACCUUGGGUUGUCUACUAUUGCAAAUGGUAUGCCAUUAUGGGUGUAAAUUUCAUUCCCGGGCUACUAUACAGUCUCAAAGGCAACGUAACCAAUCUGGCGAAUUUCAAUUUCAAAUGUAACGUGCUAUAUUUGACCCUGUAACUUCCCAAAACGCCAUAAAACCUGUAAAUAGGGGGUACUGUCUUACACGUGAGACUUUACUGAAUACAAAUGUGUAUUUUAUUGCAGUAAAAGCAAACAGUAUUAUGACACUGACCGUUAAAAUGUCAUGUAGAACUAAAAAAAUCUAAAUAAAUCGUAUUUUCUCCCAUUUUUUUCAUAUUAAAUUAUGUUUCAUAGCUAAAUAUUUGAUAUUAAAUGAAAGCCCUGUUUCCCCUGAAUAAAAUGAUAUAUAAUAAGGGUGGGUGCAUUUACUAUGAAAGAGGUGUAUUACGGUUGGACAGACAUGUAGCGCAAAUGCCAGGUUUUGUUUACAUUUUGUUUUGUUCACAACGUGUACAUUUGGCUCCGUCCUUAAGAGGUUAAAUAGAAGAAUUGAGAGUACAAUACAUACAUAAUGCAAAUAAAGACAGAGAUUACAUAAUUCAGUGACAGAUGGAUUGGGUUGCAGAUGUGGGGAAGUCCCUCCGGUUGGGGUGCAGUCUCUCAUCGAUCCCUCAAUGAAGUGGUCUGGGUGCCAGGUCCCCCUAGUUUUAACCUUGCAGCUGAAAACAUAGCAGUUUCUCACAUUAAGGGUUAAUCCAGCCUCUAGUGGCUGUCUCACUGACAGUCACUAGAGGCGCUUCCGCGAUUUAUACUGAGUAAAUCACAAAUAUUUGACGCUGGACGUCCUGACAGACCUCCAGCGUAAAAAAAAAGAUCCCCGUAGGAGAGCACUGAGUAAUGCUUUCCUGUGGGCGGGUUUAAAUUCGUGCGCGCCUCUUUCCGCGCAUGCACAUUUGGCUCCACUCAGGAGUUGACGUCGAUGGAGGAGGAGGAGAGGUCACCAGUGCUGAGGGAGCCCAGCGCUGGAUUAAGGUAAACAAAUUAAUGGUUAACCAUUUAUUCUCUGUGGAACGGGGCCCUAGUCACCCAAAUGGUGACUAGGACUCUAUAGCAUCAGGAAUACAUAUUUGUAUUCCUAACGCUAUAGUGUUCCUUUAAAUAAAGGAUACAUACACAAUGCACAUAAAGACGGAGAUUACAGAAUUCAGUGACAGGUGGAUUGGGUUGCAGAUGUGGG